GACGAAGGGGGCUAGCGUUGUUCGGAAUUACUGGGCGUAAAGCGUGCGCAGGCGGUUCGUUAAGUCAGAUGUGAAAUCCCCGGGCUUAACCUGGGAACUGCAUUUGGGACUGCAAGGCUCGAGUACGGCAGAGGGAGGUGGAAUUCCACGUGUAGCAGUGAAAUGCGUAGAGAUGUGGAGGAACACCGAUGGCGAAGGCAGCCUCCUGGGCCAGUACUGACGCUCAUGCACGAAAGCGUGGGGAGCAAACAGG
This 253-nucleotide ribosomal RNA is filed under the name uncultured bacterium. Its description in RNAcentral is "partial 16S ribosomal RNA". It matches the Rfam family "Bacterial small subunit ribosomal RNA", at positions 524 to 776 of the family's 1533-position model. The record is from RNAcentral.